GAUGAAGAACGCAGCGAAAUGCGAUAAGUAAUGUGAAUUGCAGAAUUCAGUGAAUCAUCGAAUCUUUGAACGCACAUUGCGCCCGCCAGUAUUCUGGCGGGCAUGCCUGUUCGAGCGUCAUUACAACCCUCAGGCCCCCGGGCCUGGCGUUGGGGAUCGGCAGAAGCCCCCUGCGGGCACAACGCCGUCCCCCAAAUACAGUGGCAGUCCCGCCGCAGCUUCCAUUGCGUAGUAGCUAACACCUCGCAACUGGAGAGCGGCGCGGCCACGCCGUAAAACACCCAACUUCUGAAUGUUGACCUCGAAUCAGGUAGGAAUACCCGCUGAACUUAAGCAUAUCAAUAAGCGGAGGA
RNAcentral lists this unclassified non-coding RNA (353 nucleotides) under soil metagenome. RNAcentral's name for it is "partial contains 5.8S ribosomal RNA, internal transcribed spacer 2, and large subunit ribosomal RNA". The stretch from base 1 to 120 matches the Rfam family "5.8S ribosomal RNA", at positions 35 to 154 of the family's 154-position model. The record is from RNAcentral.